This 381-nucleotide ribosomal RNA is filed under the name uncultured eukaryote. Its description in RNAcentral is "SSU rRNA". It matches the Rfam family "Eukaryotic small subunit ribosomal RNA", at positions 587 to 972 of the family's 1831-position model. The record is from RNAcentral.
AGCUCCAAUAGCGUAUAUUAAAGUUGUUGCGGUUAAAAAGCUCGUAGUUGGAUUUCUGUCGAGGACAGCCGGUCCACACUUUGUGUGAGUAUCUGGUUUGGCCUUGGCAUCCUCUUGAAAAACGUUACUGCGCUUGAUUGCGUGGUGCGGAGUUCAAGACUUUUACUUUGAGGAAAUUAGAGUGUUCACGGCAGGCAAACGCCUUGAAUAUAUUAGCAUGGAAUAAUAAUAUAGGACCUUUGUUCUAUUUUGUUGGUUUCUAGAGCGAAGGUAAUGAUUAAUAGGGAUAAUUGGGGGCAUUCGUAUUAACGCGUCAGAGGUGGAAUUCUUGGAUUGCGUUACGACGAACUACUGCGAAAGCAUUUGCCAAGGAUGUUUUCA